RNAcentral lists this ribosomal RNA (602 nucleotides) under uncultured bacterium. RNAcentral describes it as "bacterial SSU rRNA". It matches the Rfam family "Bacterial small subunit ribosomal RNA", at positions 116 to 716 of the family's 1533-position model. The record is from RNAcentral.
CGUACGCAACUUUCCUCAAACCGGGGCACAACCUUGAGAAAUCAGGGCUAAUUCCCCAUAACAUUGCGAGAGGGCAUCUGAUUGCAAUUAAAGAUUCGUCGGUUUGAGAUGGGCGUGCGUUCGAUUAGCUAGUUGGUAGGGUAACGGCUUACCAAGGCAACGAUCGAUAGCUGGUGUGAGAGCACGACCAGCCACACGGGCACUGAGAUACGGGCCCGACUCCUACGGGAGGCAGCAGUAAGGAAUAUUGGUCAAUGGACGAAAGUCUGAACCAGCCAUGCCGCGUGAGGGAUGAAGGUCCUCUGGAUUGUAAACCUCUUUUAUCUGUGAAUAAAUGCCUGAUUUCUAUCGGGUUUGAAGGUAAUAGAUGAAUAAGCACCGGCUAACUCCGUGCCAGCAGCCGCGGUAAUACGGAGGGUGCAAGCGUUAUCCGGAUUUACUGGGUUUAAAGGGUGCGUAGGUGGGUUGGUAAGUCAGUGGUGAAAUACUUUCGCUUAACGAAGGAACUGCCAUUGAUACUACCAGUCUUGAAUGCAGUGGAGGCAGGCGGAAUGCGUCAUGUAGCGGUGAAAUGCUUAGAUAUGACGCAGAACACCAAUUGC